ACGUGGCUGGCUCAGCCAGUAGAGCAUGAGACUCUUGAUCUCAGGGUUGUGAGUUCAAGCCCCAAGUCAGGUG
RNAcentral lists this transfer RNA (73 nucleotides) under Canis lupus familiaris (dog). It matches the Rfam family "tRNA". Rfam says of the family: Transfer RNA (tRNA) molecules are approximately 80 nucleotides in length. Lineage: Eukaryota; Metazoa; Chordata; Mammalia; Carnivora; Canidae. The record is from Rfam by way of RNAcentral. RNAcentral also lists the same sequence under 1 other name.